Molecule: non-coding RNA, 1738 nt
Organism: Podarcis lilfordi (Lilford's wall lizard)
Lineage: Eukaryota; Metazoa; Chordata; Lepidosauria; Squamata; Lacertidae
Source: the annotation of a GenBank genome assembly
UUUUUUUAAAAAAUGAUAUUUAUUACUUUUUCAAAAUUUCCAACACAGCACUACAAACACAGAGAAAAAGAAACAACAGAAAAAACAAUACGAAUACAAUACAAAAACGCUACAUGGACUAACAAAUCAAGCAAAAACAAGCAAAAACAAUUUAAAAACACCUCAAACAUUUUCAAUAUCUUAUAUUUCAUUCACUUAUUUCCAGCGACUUCCUCACACCUCCCUUUUUGUAUUCCACUUCUAUUAUUUGUUUCAGCAAUUCCUUUCCAUCUUACUCUGUUUUCUGUUCUAUAAUUAUCUUAACACAUUCUUGCCAUACUUUUCCUUUAAUUUUCUAUUAAUCUAUUUAUACUUAAUUCCUUAUGACAUUUCUACUAAAGCCAUGUAAUUUAAUUCCAACAUUUUUCUAACAUUCCUUAAUUUUACAAUAUUUCUAUAAAUAGUCUUUAAACUUUUUCCAAUCUUCCUCCACCGACUCUUCACCCUGGUCUCGGAUCUUGCCAGUCAUUUCCGCCAAUUCCCUAUAGUCCAUCAACUUCGUCUGCCAUUGUCCAACACUUCAGUGUUUUCAAGAAGCAACCAUUCUCUCAACCAGCAAAAGGCAGAUGGUUCACAACGAAGUUUAAAGGUCUGGCAGGGCAGGUCCACCUCCUUCUUUACCAUCCAUCAAUAUCUUAAGCUUAACUUGAGGCUUCCUGCCCUGCCAAACAGCUCUAGGAGCAUCCCUCUGUCACCUCCUGAGACCCUCCAUCACAUCCAGAGCUUGCAAUGUUUGAAACAAAAGCAACAUCCCCAGCAACACAGCAGCCCCCAUCCCCACCACAACGACUCAGCCCAACAGUAACAACUUCUGAUUUGUCCAUAUUUCCAAAUCCCCCUUCUCUUCAAUCCAACAUCCUUCACAGUUGUCCUUAAGCAGAUUCACAUUUUUGGCGGUCAUACUAACCCCCAAAUACCUCUCUUUCUCAACCAAUGUUAGUCCUGUCGCCUCCUGAAACUCUGUCAGGCUUUCCUUCUCCAACUCAGACAGGGCUCUGGUCCCCAAAUUCAUCCGCUCUUCUUUAAGUUCAAUCAUAACGAAUGUCAGCUUAUGUUUAUCAAGUUGUCUUUGUAUGGAUGGGACUCUCCUCUCCAGUUGUACCACCUUAAGUUCAGCAGCAAGGGUUUUUUCCCUGACUUCAUCUGCAGUUUGCCGUAUCAGAGUAGAUUCCUGUAUCAGUUUCUGGGUGGUUUCUGAAUUGGUAUUCACCUUUUGUCCCAAAUUAUUUAAACUUUGUACAAUUAAAUCAGUCUCAAUAUUUGCAACAUCCAAUUUCACAUUCAUCGCAUCUGUUUUCUUAUGGAGUUGUUCCAGCGAAUCGUUUAUUUUCAAUAAUGCAGCCACUAAGGCCUCCUCUGUCGACAUCCCGUCUGUUUUUCCCUUCCGUUUGCCAUAACACUUAAGAGAUUCAAGGUCAAUUCCAAAGUCUCACACUUUUCUUAUCUUGCAGCUGGAAAUUCCCCUAGCCCAGCUCCUAUAAAGUAACCAAUUUCAAAAGCUUCCACUAGGGGAAAACAGGUUGUAUUUGGAUCGGUCAAUAUGUCCUCUUUUAAACACAGUUUCAAUAAUCCGAAGUUAGUUUCAAUUUUCAGUUACUUUCCUCCUUUUUUAAAAACAGCCGGAAACAGUAGAAACAAUGUAUUUCUCUUAUUUAGCUAGCUGUCAAUGAACGUUCUAAGGGCUGUCAAUGAACAUUCC